GAUGAACGCUGGCGGCGUGCCUAAUACAUGCAAGUCGAGCGAACAGACGAGGAGCUUGCUCCUCUGACGUUAGCGGCGGACGGGUGAGUAACACGUGGAUAACCUACCUAUAAGACUGGGAUAACUUCGGGAAACCGGAGCUAAUACCGGAUAAUAUAUUGAACCGCAUGGUUCAAUAGUGAAAGACGGUUUUGCUGUCACUUAUAGAUGGAUCCGCGCCGCAUUAGCUAGUUGGUAAGGUAACGGCUUACCAAGGCAACGAUGCGUAGCCGACCUGAGAGGGUGAUCGGCCACACUGGAACUAGGAAACGUUCAGACUCCUACGGGAGGCAGCAGUAGGGAAUCUUCCGCAAUGGGCGAAAGCCUGACGGAGCAACGCCGCGUGAGUGAUGAAGGUCUUCGGAUCGUAAAACUCUGUUAUUAGGGAAGAACAAAUGUGUAAGUAACUAUGCACGUCUUGACGGUACCUAAUCAGAAAGCCACGGCUAACUACGUG
Molecule: ribosomal RNA, 496 nt
Filed under: uncultured bacterium
Lineage: Bacteria
Description: partial 16S ribosomal RNA
Rfam family: Bacterial small subunit ribosomal RNA
Source: RNAcentral